AGCUAUCAAUGAUCCCAAGUAGAAAGCAGGUAUGGUAGAAGAGAUGCAAGCUUUAAGCAAGAAUAACACUUGAGAGUUGGUUCCUCUUCCUAUUGGAAAAAAACCUGUAGGGUGUAAGUGGGUAUUCACCAUUAAACAGAAAGCAGAUGGAAAAAUUGAACGGUACAAAGCAUGACCUUUGCUCUAAUAACAAAGAUGAAUUCCAUUCGAGUUAUUCUCUCAAGUGCAGCUAAUUUGGGCUGGCCUUUACAGUAGUUAGAUGUGAAGAAUACAUUUCUCCAUGGUGAUUUAGAGGAGGUAUAUAUGGAUGUACCACUAGGAUUCUCAUCUCAGUUUACAGCUGGGAACGUUUAUAGGUUGAAAAAGGCUUUACAUGGUUUGAAGCAGUCUCCUCGAGCUUGGUUUGACAGAUUCGUUGAGAUUCGGGUAUAAGCAAAGCAAUGCUGAUCACACAAUGUUCGUCAAAUGCCAUGCAAUUAAGGUAAGUGUGCUUAUAGUAUAUGUGGAUGACAUAGUUGUGGCAGGUAAUGAUGAGAAGGAAGUGACACAUUUGAAGAUGCUAUUGGGUAAGGAAUUUGAGAUCAAAGACCUUGGUCCGUUAAGAUACUUUCUUAGGAUUGAAGUUGCUAGAUCAGACAAAGGUAGCUUUGCUGAAAUUUACAGGUUAUAAAAUCAUAAAUAAUAUUUCAGACACUGGGAAGGCAUUUCUUAUUAUACUUAUCACAGAUAUUUUUUUAGGAUACCAUUCUGAAUCUGGUUGGCAGACUUUAUUAGAGAUAAUUAUUGAGCAUUAUGGCCUUGAGAUUGAUCAGUCUGCCGUAACCAUAUUCAUCUGCCUAAUUCCAGUUAUCAUUGAUGCAUGUGUGAAGCUUUGGUUGUUUAAAUUCCUCCCAAGGUUAUCCCCAAAGGUGGCAAAUAUUUUCCAGGAAAUGAAGAGGCACUAGAAAGAAUUUUUAUGAUUUCUGGAUUUUGUGGCCAUGACCAAACAAAUUCUGUGGCCAUCACCAGACAAAGGUACUACUAUAUAAUUAAUUUUUGUAUUCAUUCAAUGCUCUACAUGGAGUAUGGAGUAUGGAGUUAGGGAGACAGCUUUCGGUGUGGCUGAAAUGUAGCUUUGUUCUUCUUUCUUUCUUUCUUUCUCAGUUGCUUGGAUUUAGCGGCCAAUUCACAUUGUUUACUCAUAAUACAAAGUUUAAAAACCACUAUCUUUUUGUACCCAUUAUAGGGUGUUACAGAAUUCCAGAUUUCCCAAUUUCACA
Molecule: non-coding RNA, 1259 nt
Organism: Camellia sinensis
Lineage: Eukaryota; Viridiplantae; Streptophyta; Magnoliopsida; Ericales; Theaceae
Source: RefSeq, a predicted model, not a curated record